ACCCUGCAUAUGGGAUAGCUCAGUCGGUAGAGCACGAGACUCUUAAUCUCAGGGUUAUGGGUUCGAGCCCCACGUUGGGCA
This 81-nucleotide transfer RNA is filed under the name Podarcis lilfordi (Lilford's wall lizard). RNAcentral describes it as "tRNA.Lys". The stretch from base 16 to 73 matches the Rfam family "tRNA", at positions 8 to 63 of the family's 71-position model. Rfam says of the family: Transfer RNA (tRNA) molecules are approximately 80 nucleotides in length. Their secondary structure includes four short double-helical elements and three loops (D, anti-codon, and T loops). Lineage: Eukaryota; Metazoa; Chordata; Lepidosauria; Squamata; Lacertidae. The record is from RNAcentral.